AACUUUUGACAACGGAUCACUUGGCUCUCGCAUCGAUGAAGAACGCAACGAAAUGCGAUAAGUAAUGUGAAUUGCAGAAUUCAGUGAAUCAUCGAAUUUUUGAACGCACCUUGCGCUCCCUGGUAUCUCGGGUGGCACGCCUGUUCGACUCUCGUGAAAUUCUCAAACUGAUAUGCUGUUUUGUUUCUCGGCGUGGUGUUUGGCUUUGCAGUCCCCUUUGAUUGGGAUGUCUUGCCUUAAAAGCAUUAGCUGGCUUUUCCUGUAGAAUUGGUUCUACUCAGCGUGAUAAUGAUCUGACCGCCGAGGACAUCUUUCGCGAUGGCCAAUUCUCAUUUGGGCUGCUUCUAAUCUUGGUCGAGCAGAUUCUGAAUCUGUUCCACUUUUCAACUCUUGACCUCGAAUCAGGUGGGACUACCCGCUGAACUUAAGCAUAUCAAUAAGCGGAGGCU
Molecule: unclassified non-coding RNA, 449 nt
Filed under: uncultured Clavulina
Lineage: Eukaryota; Fungi; Basidiomycota; Agaricomycetes; Cantharellales; Hydnaceae
Description: sequence contains ITS2
Rfam family: 5.8S ribosomal RNA (bases 1-154)
Source: RNAcentral